RNAcentral lists this ribosomal RNA (1695 nucleotides) under Triticum aestivum (bread wheat). Its description in RNAcentral is "partial small subunit ribosomal RNA". Lineage: Eukaryota; Viridiplantae; Streptophyta; Magnoliopsida; Poales; Poaceae. The record is from RNAcentral.
AUGGAUCGAGGUUGGAUGAGUCAACCAAGAGCUAGUGCUGCUUACAAAGAUGGUGUCGAGCAAUUUCUGACUUUUGCAUUCCGUGAUGUUCCGGCUGGUGAUAGAAUUCUUUGUCCUUGUGUAAAUUGCCGAAAUAAAGCUAUGCAGAGUUAUGAUGGAGUGAAGACUCACUUGAGAUGUGAUGGUAUUCUUCAAGGUUACACUAAGUGGGUUUGCCAUGGAGAGGAUUACAGUGAACCAUCAUUUGCAUUUGCUCAUGUAUCAGAUAACAGUGGCAAUCUUUCUAUUCCUGGCAUCCCAAGGAAUGUUGUUGGAGAAAGCAGCCAUGGAAGGUUGGAUGACAUGCCAGGACUCUUAAGUGUCGUCUUUGCUAUGGCUAACAGUUGUGAAUCUUUAUCAAGCACAUCUGAUGGUGAAUUAGAUGGCCUUGAAUUUGAGAAUAUGGAACCAAAUUCAGUUGAGGAUGAGAAUGCAGAUGCUCAAACAAGUAAGAAACCUGAUACAUAUGCAAGCUUCUUGGAGGAUGCAAACACAGAGUUAUACCCUGGAUGUAAUGCAUUUUCUAAGUUGUCAUUUCUCAUCACCUUGUAUCACAUGAAAUGCUUACAUGGAUGGACACAAGAAUCAUUUACAACGCUACUUGGUGUUUUGUCUGAUGCACUUCCAGAGGCACAAAUACCAAAGAAGUACUAUGAGGUACAAAAAAUCAUUCGUGGCUUAGGGCUUGACUAUGAGAAAAUCCAUGCAUGCCCCAAUGACUGUAUGCUUUUCCGAGGUGAACGAGCUGAUCAAGACUCUUGCCAUGUGUGUGGCAGCUCGCGUUGGGUUACAGAUGACAAGAAAGACUCCCAAGCUGAAUCUGUAUCUAAGCAAUCUAAGCAAAAGAAGAAACCAGCCAAGGUGUUGCGUUACUUUCCUUUGAUACCGAGGAUUCAAAGGCUCUUUGCAACAACAAAAACAUCUGAUGACAUGCGUUGGCACGACGAGGGUCGUACCAAAGAUGGAAAGAUACGGCAUCCGGCUGAUGCCGAGUGUUGGAAAGAUCUUGAUGCUAGAUACCCCGAUUUUGCUGCUGAUCCUCGUAAUCCGCGCCUUGGCAUUGGAAGUGAUGGAGUUAACCCUUUCCGGAGUAUGAGUUCAAAACAUAGUACCUGGCCAGUGAUGCUUAUCCCGUACAACCUACCGCCUUGGAUUUGCAUGAAAGAAACAUCUCUAAUUUUAUCAAUGAUCAUUCCUGGACCAGCUUCCCCUGGGAAUGACAUUGAUAUAUAUUUGCAGCCACUGAUUGAUGAGCUCUUACAAUUAUGGGAUGGUGUAGACACAUUUGACGCUUCCUCGCAGGAGACAUUUCCUCUCAAGGCUGCACUAUUAUGGACUUUAAAUGAUUUUCCGGCAUUAGCUUACCUGUACGGUUGGAGCACAAGUGGUAAAUAUGGGUGUCCAUCAUGUGGUCCUUCUACAAGAUCAUUUCGCCUAAAUAAGAGUAUGAAACUUUGUUAUAUGGGCCACCGUCGCUGGUUACCACAGGGUCACAUAUUUCGAAACCGAAGGAGGCAAGAGUUUGAUGGCACUAAAGAGACUGAACUGGCACCGACAACUAUGAGUGGUACUUCAGCUUUGAAAAUGUUGCAAGGCAGAGUGUUUGUGUUAGGCAAAAAAGCCAAUGUAGCCAAGAAAGCAAAGGGCGGAAAGAAG